Long non-coding RNA from Coccinella septempunctata (seven-spotted ladybird), 181 nucleotides. RefSeq lists it as uncharacterized. The transcript is spliced from 2 exons. The record is from RefSeq and is a predicted model, not a curated record. NCBI's taxonomy places the organism in Eukaryota, Metazoa, Arthropoda, Insecta, Coleoptera, Coccinellidae.
GUGUUUGAAAUAAAAGUGCAUUUAUACAUGGAAGAGGAAAGCGAUUCACUUAUUCCGUUUUCCAAGAAAUAAAACCAGACGACCAGACCAGACUGGGUCUUGAAAACAAUUUACACUUCUCUUGUAAUUUACACUCCAGACUUCAGUAUAAUGAGAGAAAUCGACUUUUACUGUUAAUUUG